Molecule: ribosomal RNA, 330 nt
Filed under: Escherichia coli
Lineage: Bacteria; Pseudomonadati; Pseudomonadota; Gammaproteobacteria; Enterobacterales; Enterobacteriaceae
Description: bacterial SSU rRNA
Rfam family: Bacterial small subunit ribosomal RNA
Source: RNAcentral
AAAUUGAAGAGUUUGAUCAUGGCUCAGAUUGAACGCUGGCGGCAGGCCUAACACAUGCAAGUCGAACGGUAACAGGAAGCAGCUUGCUGCUUUGCUGACGAGUGGCGGACGGGUGAGUAAUGUCUGGGAAACUGCCCGAUGGAGGGGGAUAACUACUGGAAACGGUAGCUAAUACCGCAUAACGUCGCAAGACCAAAGAGGGGGACCUUAGGGCCUCUUGCCAUCGGAUGUGCCCAGAUGGGAUUAGCUAGUAGGUGGGGUAAUGGCUCACCUAGGCGACGAUCCCUAGCUGGUCUGAGAGGAUGACCAGCCACACUGGAACUGAGACAC